UACGUAGGGCGCAAGCGUUGUCCGGAAUCACUGGGCGUAAAGGGCGCGUAGGCGGCCGAUUAAGUCGGGGGUGAAAGCCUGUGGCUCAACCACAGAAUUGCCUUCGAUACUGGUUGGCUUGAGACCGGAAGAGGACAGCGGAACUGCGAGUGUAGAGGUGAAAUUCGUAGAUAUUCGCAAGAACACCAGUGGCGAAGGCGGCUGUCUGGUCCGGUUCUGACGCUGAGGCGCGAAAGCGUGGGGAGCAAACAGG
This 253-nucleotide ribosomal RNA is filed under the name uncultured bacterium. RNAcentral describes it as "partial 16S ribosomal RNA". It matches the Rfam family "Bacterial small subunit ribosomal RNA", at positions 524 to 776 of the family's 1533-position model. The record is from RNAcentral.